AACGAACGCUGGCGGCAUGCCUAACACAUGCAAGUCGAACGAGACCUUCGGGUCUAGUGGCGCACGGGUGCGUAACGCGUGGGAACCUGCCUUCAGGUUCGGAAUAACUCAGAGAAAUUUGAGCUAAUACCGGAGGAUGUCUUGGGACCAAAGAGUGGUCGCCUUUGGAGGGGCCCGCGUGGGAUUAGCCAGUCGGUGGGGUAAGGGCCUACCAAGGCGGCGAUCCAUAGCUGGUCUGAGAGGCUGAUCAGCCACACUGGCACCGAGGCACGGCCCAGACUCCUGCGGGGGGCAGCAGUGGGGAAUAUUGGGCAGGGGUCGAGAGCCUGAUCCAGCAAUGCCGCGUGAGUGAUGAAGGCCUUAGGGUUGUAAAGCUCUUUUACCCGAGAUGAUAAUGACAGUAGCGGGAGAAUAAGCUCCGGCUAACUCCGUG
RNAcentral lists this ribosomal RNA (433 nucleotides) under uncultured bacterium. Its description in RNAcentral is "partial 16S ribosomal RNA". It matches the Rfam family "Bacterial small subunit ribosomal RNA", at positions 29 to 507 of the family's 1533-position model. The record is from RNAcentral.